RNAcentral lists this ribosomal RNA (361 nucleotides) under uncultured Achromobacter sp. RNAcentral describes it as "bacterial SSU rRNA". It matches the Rfam family "Bacterial small subunit ribosomal RNA", at positions 505 to 871 of the family's 1533-position model. Lineage: Bacteria; Pseudomonadati; Pseudomonadota; Betaproteobacteria; Burkholderiales; Alcaligenaceae. The record is from RNAcentral.
GUGCCAGCCGCGGCGGUAAUACGUAGGGUGCAAGCGUUAAUCGGAAUUACUGGGCGUAAAGCGUGCGCAGGCGGUUCGGAAAGAAAGAUGUGAAAUCCCAGAGCUUAACUUUGGAACUGCAUUUUUAACUACCGGGCUAGAGUGUGUCAGAGGGAGGUGGAAUUCCGCGUGUAGCAGUGAAAUGCGUAGAUAUGCGGAGGAACACCGAUGGCGAAGGCAGCCUCCUGGGAUAACACUGACGCUCAUGCACGAAAGCGUGGGAGCAACAGGAUUAGAUACCCUGGUAGUCCACGCCCUAAACGAUGUCAACUAGCUGUGGGCCUUCGGCCUUGGUAGCGCAGCUAACGCGUGAAGUUGACCG